UUUUUUUUCCUCACACUUUUUUUCUUUCUCUUUUUUUCUGACUUCUUUUUCUUUCUUUUUUCUCUCUUUUUUUUCUCUAUCUUUUUUUCUCUCCCUCUUUCCAAGACAAACUAGAUAAGAUGCAGAUUGGAUCAAGCGAAGAUGUGAACGACCUCAACUAUGAUUGUGACAAUGAACUAUGGGUAGCACGUGGUGGAAUUUGAUGGAUGGUGUGGUGGACAGCGGAAGGGAUAACGAUGCAGCGGCGACGUGACUAAUGUGAACAGAACUCGAAACUCUAACGAACUAGACCCUAAGACCAGCAACUCGACACGACGAUGCAACCGAUAAUUCAAUAAUGCAAACAAUGAAUAGAAAAUUGCAAAGGCUCAGACUGGCUUGGACAAAAGGAUGAAUAGAUCUAACUUUUUUGUGGCUUUUUCUUGGACAAUAGGUAAGAAAAUAAAUCUAAUCUAGGGGAAGCUGGAAAUUCUCACCGAGCAACCUGAAAACUGAUACCACUUGAUAGAGGCGAGGGUGUCCCGAUCUUUCGAUGAGAUGAUAACUAUCGAUUUGGUGGAGUCGACUUUGACGAUCCGACUACAAACGUGCACGACGUUGCGCCUUAGCAAUCGCUAAACCAAUCUCCUGAGUUUACUGACGAUGCCGGAAGCACGAUCAGCCUGACCACGAAGGUCUAUUCCUGCAAGCAAUCAAAGAACGAGCAAGAAUAUGAUAAAGCAAUCUGAAUAUUGCGAAUAUAUAUGAAGUAUUGAUAAUGGUGGGGAUCCGUAAGCGGUCUUGGUCUGGUCGUUGGACACAAACGAAGUACACGAAGUUGCAAUGGCUAACUUUUAACUAAACAAAUCCCAAGGAAAAAGCUACUAGAUGGAUCUACUUAUAUAGGAGCAAGGGGUGGCGACCAAGGAGGUGGGAGGACGUCCCAAGGCAGCCUAAAACCAACCCUAGGUCGUACAAGGCUCAUGGGCCCAAGUGGAGGUGAUGCAACACCUUUGGACUUGUAGUUUGACUCGGAUUCUAGUGCAACGUCAGAUUGUUUCGACCAUAACUCAAUGCUCUGGACGAAUUUAAAGGUGAAUCCAAUUGGGUUGGAAAGACCACGAAAUCUAGUUUCCAACAAAAAAAGAAUCACCCAAUUCGGAGUCCGUAUGAAAAAGUUGUUGGCGUUUUGAGUCAGGUAUGUCUGUGCAGUCCGAAUCUGAAUCCAGAACGUGAGAGACUUGGACUCUAUCUUCUCUUGGCCCAAAAGUGACGUGAGAGGACUUUUUGAACAGAACCUAAACUUCUCCUUUGGCCUUAUAUUCAUAUGUGGAUUGUACAAAUGUCUCAUACACCUGCAAUUAGACAAAACACAAAAGUGUGUGAAGUAUUUUUGUUCUGGAUAACAUAAAUAGAUUAUUGAAUAGUUUGCACUAGAAAUCACCUGAUAAAUAUGCAUGUAUGCAAUAUUUUUGGUCGUAUCCAAGGUAGUCAUGUCCUCAUCAAUAGUUCCAUUAAGGGUUCCUUUCCCUGGGUGUGCAUGCAUUAGUAUACAUGUCCGAAUUGUGAUGUGAAAAUCACAGUGUGUAUAGUUUCUGGGGGUUCAUAAUGGAGUGAGUGCAAAAAACAUCUUUAAUUCACCGACCGAAUAUUCCCUUAAGAACACUAGCUUUCUGCUUCACCCAGUAUGAGGUACACAUCUGGAUGACCCGGCAGCAACAAUCGCAGAGGUGCUCCCUUUAUGCCCUAGCCGAACUAACGGGAACGUAGGGCCUAAGCACAGGAGCCAGGCAACCCAGCUUGGCCAAAACUUAAGUCAUAUCGAUACAUAUAGUGGCGAAGAAAAGGUACAUAUGGAAAAACUCAUAUGUGAAGAGCUUGAUGCUCAAGGAAUAAUAAUAAAAAGCUUCUGUCCAAGAAGCCCCCAGGUAUGAUGGACGUACAUAUUUAAAGAUGUAUGCGUCAGGGGUGUGCGGUCUAGCCGUACGAAAGUUUUAAAGCCAGAAAGAAAAAAGUAAUCCAAAAAGAGAGAAAGAAUAAUGGAAACUACAGGGGAGAAGGAGACGAACAAGGAGUUCGGCGCUAGGCAUAGAAUCUUCGGAGUCUGGCCGCGUUCCAGGGGUUCGGCUCGAGGCGAUUGUCUGAUGCAUCGCGAAGACGGUACGCCCCUCCGGUGAGAACUUCGUCAAUUAUGAAGGGACCCUCCCAUUUGGGCUUGAGUUUGUCCUUUUUCUUCUCCGGCAGGCGUAGAACGAGUUCGCCAAUGUUGUAGGUCUUGGCCCGUACUUCUCUGCUUUGAUAUCUUCGGGCCUGCUGGUGGUAAAAUGCUGAACGAGCUUUUGCGACAUCACGCUCCUCUUCCAGGGCAUCUAGGUUGUCCUGCCGAUGAAGCUCGGCUUCUCUCUCUUUGUACAUACGCACUUGAGGUGAGUCGUGGAUAAUAUCGCAGGGCAAUACAGCCUCCGCGCCAUACACCAUGAAGAAAGGUGUGUAUCCGGUAGUACGGUUGGGUGUGGUCCGCAGCCCCUAGAGUACGGAGUCGAGCUCCUCAACCCAGUGCUUGUCUGAUUCUCUCAAAGACCGCACUAGUCUGGGUUUGAUGCCGCUCAUAAUAAGACCAUUGGCUCGUUCGACUUGACCGUUGGUUUGCGGGUGGUAGACGGAGGCGUAAUCGAGUUUAAUGCCAAGAUUAGUACACCAGGUUUUUACCUCGUAGGCUGUGAAAUUAGAGCCGUUGUCGGUGAUGAUGCUGUGUGGGACACCAUAACGGUGCACAACACCGGAUAUGAAUUUUAUCACCGGGCCGGACUCAGCCGUUCUGACCGGUUUAGCCUCUAUCCACUUAGUGAAUUUGUCCACCAUGACCAACAGAUAUUUUUUCUUAUGGCUUCCCCCUUUAAGGGGUCCAACCAUGUCCAGUCCCCAGACCGCGAAAAGACAAGUAAUGGGGAUAGUUUGUAAGGCAGUUGGGGGCAUGUGGCUUUGGUUGGCGAAGAGUUGGCAUCCGACGCAGCGUUGGACAAGGUCCUGCGUGUCUGCUUGGGCUGCCGGCCAAUAAAACCCAGUACGGAAGGCUUUGCUAACAAGGGCCCGAGCUGUGGCGUGGUGUCCGCCGAGACCAGCGUGAAUUUCUGCUAAAAGCUGUCGCCCCUCUUCCUUGGAGAUACAUCUUUGAAGUAAUCCGGUAGUACUUUUCUUGUAGAGCUCUCCGUCGUGAACCUUGUAGGCUUUUGAACGCCGGACAAUGCGGCGAGCCUCAUUCUGUUCUUCGGGAAGCUCCAUCCUAUUUAUGUAGGCCAAGAAGGGUUCGGUCCAUGGGGCAAUGUCUGCCAUAAUGAGAUGGGCCGACGGUGUUAUUUCGGUGGUGAGCCCCCGAAGCUAUCGGUGUGUUCGGGAUUUGGGGUUGUAUUUGAAUCUGGACUGUUGUUGCCGCCCUCCCCUUCCCACACCACGGAUGGCUUGAAAAGCCUUCCGAGGAAAAUGUUGGGUGGAACGGGGUCGUGCUUGGCGCCGAUGCGAGCAAGGACGUCCGCUGCCUGAUUACUCUCCCGGGCGACGUGAUGAAAUUCGAGCCCCUCAAACUGAGCCGAUAUUUUAAGACGGCAUUACGCUAAGCUGCCAUCUAUGGAUCUUUGGCAUCAAAGUCUCCGUUUAUUUGAGAUAUUGCGAGGUUUGAAUCCCCGCGCACCUCUAGGCGUUGUAUGCCCAUGGAUACGGCCAUCCGAAGACCAUGCAAUAGGUCCUCGUAUUCGGCUGGGUUGUUGGAGUCUGUGUAUAGUAUUUGGAGUACAUACUGGACGACAUCAACCGUGGGGGAUGUUAACACGACUCCCGCUCCUAGCCCCACCAGCAUUUUGGAGCCGUCAAAAUACAUAACCCAAUUGGAAUAUGUGCCGUACUCUUUAGGGAGUUCGGCCUCCGUCCAUUCGGUGACGAAGUCAGCCAGUACUUGGGAUUUGAUGGCUCGACGUGGCUUGUAUGUUAUGUCAAAUGGAAGUAGCUCUAUGGCCCAUUUGGUGAUCCGUCUCGUGGCAUCGCGGUUGUUUAUUAUGUCAUUGAGUGGGACUUCAGAAGCCACCGUGAUUGAACACUCCUGAAAGUAGUGUCGUAGCAUUCGGGAUGCCAUGAAGACCGCGUAUGCUAUCUUUUGGUAAUGGGGGUAUCGGGAUUUGCAUGGUGUGAGGACAGUAGAUAGAUAGUAUACUGGUUUUUGAAGUGGGAAUUUGUGUCCGUCCUGUUCUCGUUCGACGACGAGCACGGCACUCACCACCUGAUGUGUUGCCGAUAUGUAUAGCAACAUGGGUUCGCCAGCGUUUGGUGCGGCCAGAAUUGGGUUGCUUGCUAUGAGGUCCUUUAUUUCCUCCAGUCCGGUAGUCGUCGCGUGUGUCCAUUCGAAGUUAUCGGUGCGUCGUAAGAGGCGAUAGAGUGGCAGUGCCUUUUCUCCUAAUCUGGAGAUAAAGUGACUUAACGCUGCCAUGCAACCAGCUAGUUUUUGGACUUGUUUGAGGUCUGUUGGCGUAGCCAACUGUGACAGAGCUCGGAUUUUUGCUGGAUUUGCUUCUAUUCCUCUAUUGGAAACGAUGAAGCCCAGUAGUUUUCCAGCGGGGACGCCGAAGACACACUUUUCCGGGUUGAGUUUAAUGUCAUACGCACGGAGGUUGUCGAAUGUAAGAUGUAAGUCGUCUAUUAGUGUUUCGACGUGCCUAGUUUUGAUGACGACGUCAUCGAUGUAAGCUUCUACUGUCUUGCCGAUCUGCUUCUCCAGGCAUGUUUGAAUCAUGCGUUGGUAUGUGGCGCCGGCAUUCUUGAGCCCGAAAAGCAUUGUGUUGAAGCAGAAUGGCCCAUAUGGGGUAAUAAAUGUUGUUGCAGCUUGAUCGAACUCCUUCAUUUUGAUUUGAUGGUAUCCGGAAUAUGCAUCGAGGAAACACAGUGAGUUGUGUCCUGUGGUGGCGUCAAUCAUUUGAUCAAUGCGGGGGAGGGGAAGGGAUCCUUAGGGCAAGCCUUGUUGAGGUCUUUGAAAUCGACACACAGGCGCCAGGAUUUGUCCUUCUUUGGUACCAUCACCAGGUUUGCCAACCAGUCCGGAUGUUUGAUUUCUCUAAUGAAUCCGGCUUCGAUAAGCUUGGCCAGCUCCUCCCCCAUGGCUUGUCGCUUGGGUUCGGAAAAGCGCCGCAGUGUUUGCUUGACCGGUUUAAAUCCCUUUAAUACAUUGAGGCUAUGUUUGGCCAGCUUGCGUGGGAUCCCUGGCAUAUCUGAAGGGUGCCAGGCAAAUAUGUCCCAGUUUUCGCGCAGGAAUUCUCGUAGUGCGGCGUCAACUGUUGGGUUCAGUUGCGCUCCGAUAGAUCCUGUCUUCUUGGGGUCUGUUGGGUGGACCUGGAAUUUGACUAUUUCUUCUGCUGGUUUGAAUGAGGUGGAUUUGGGGCGUUUGUCGAGGAUCACAUCGUCCCUGUCCACCGUGGAGCGUAGUGCGGUUAAUUCUUUGGCCGCGAGGGCUUCGGAUAGCGCCUCAAGGGCCAGGGAUGCGGUUUUGUUUUCAGCGCGGAGUGCUAUGUCCGGAUCACUGACGAGAGUGAUUAUACUGUUUUGUCCGGGCAUUUUGAGCUUCAUAUACCCGUAAUGAGGUAUAGAUUGGAAGCGUGUAAAAGCAUCCCGCCCCAACAGGGCGUGGUAUCCGCUGCUGACAAGGGCCACUUGGAAAGUGAUUUCUUCGAACCGAUAAUUCUCCGGCUUGCCGAAUACCACGUCAAGUGUGAUUUUUCCCGCGCAUCGCGCCUCUCAACUGGGAAUGUUUCCUCGGAAGGUUGUGCUACUUGUCUUGAUGCAGCUCCUGUCUAUUUCCAUUUUAUGGAGUGUGUCCUCAUAAAUGAGGUUUAGUCCGCUGCCGCCGUCCAUGAGGACCUUGGUAAGUCGAAACCCGUCCACGACGGGAUUGAGGACUAAUGCGGCUAGCACUCGGACUGUCCUGUACUUCGGUUCGUCACCGGCAUUAAAUGUUAUAGUCGUGUCGUUCCAAGGGUUUAUUGCAGCGAUUUGGCAGACUUCGGCGAGGUCGCGAAGUGCCCUUUUGCGCUUGUUGUUUGAAGCGAAUGUCUGGAAGACCAUCAAUACUCUUGUGUCGUUGUUUUCUUGAGGGUGCUGUUCUGGGGUGUCCUUGAUAAGGAUGUCCUCGCCGCUCUUGGCUACCUGCCGGGUAUCCAACAAGCUCUAAAGCUGUGGGUUGCCACGGUAUCUGGUGUUGUGUGUAUUUUGCAUGGGCCAUCGAGCCAUCCCUCCAGAACGGUGUCGUGCCGCGUAAUAGGUUUAUGUUUCUUGACUGUUGGACUGGGCAUGCCGCGGGGGUGCGUCCUCUUCGCCCGUAGGAGGAGUUGAGUUGGGGCCGACGGUUCCCAGCAAGCUGCCUGAGUUUUCCAGGCGCUUUCCAUCGCGAUGUACUUCUGUAUGAUAGUUGCUAAGUCAGUGAACUUCAGUAUGCGGUGGUGAUUGAUGGCGUUGAGGAUUCCUUCGUCCGCUCAAUUGUUGCAGAACGCUGAUAUCGCGUCCUCGUCGCGACAAUCUUUUGCCCUGUUUUCGACAAGGAGGAAUCUGGCCCAGAAGUGGUGGACCGUUUCCUGAGACUGUUGUUUUAUGUUCAUGAGAGCAUCUAUGUCCGGGUGGGUGGGUGGAAUUAAAUCCGAACCCUGACCUGACCGAUUAUCCGGAGUCUGAAGACCUUCCAGACUCAAUAGUCUGGGCUCCGGAGUAUCUUAUGAUUGUUUAGGACUGCCGUCCGAUUCUAUGUUCGGAGGGCUGGUCGCAUCUUUUCGCUAGUGGGCAUCCGGUUCUUCCUGAUCGGCGAUCCGAACUUAGUCCGUCUUCGAUAUAGACGAAGACUCGCCAUCCUGCUCCUCGACUACCACUGUCUGGUGGGUGACCGGUGGAGUUUUGAUUUCUCCUUGAUCGGUUUUAGGCCCGAUCCGAUCAUAAUCUAUGGCGAUUCCCAAAGCGGCGAUGCGAUCUAGGAGCUCGUUCAAGGACAAAAACUCUGCCAGAUCCAUCUGCUUGGAGUGUUCGGACUUGAUGCGAAGGGGGUUUUCGAUGGCCCGGUAGGUCAUCAUCGGCUCAAUGGCCGAAUGAUACGUCUCCGUCGUAUCUAUAAUUUUUGAUUGUUCCAUGCCAAUAUUCUACAACUUUCAUAUACUUUUGGCAACUUUUUAUAUUAUUUUUGGGACUAACAUAUUGAUCCAGUGCCAGUUCCUGUCUGUUGCAUGUUUUAUGUUUCGCAGAAACCCCAUAUCAAACGGAAUCCAAACGGGAUAAAAACGGGUGGAGAAUUAUUUUGGAAUAUUUGUGAUUUUUGGGAAGUAAAAUCAACGCGAGACAGUGCCCGAGGUGGCCACGAGGGUGGGGCCCACGCCCACUCCAGGCAGGCGCGCCCCUGACCCUCGUGGGCCACCCGUAAGGCGGUUGAUGCCCUUCUUCGGCCGCAAGAAAGCUAAUUUUUGGAAAAAGAUCUGGGCGAAGGUUUCAAUCCAAUCGAAGUUACGGAUCUCCAUAUAUACACGAAACGGUGAAAGGGCAGCAGAGGAGAGUGCAGAAACAGAGAGAGACAGAGAGACAGAUCCAAUCUCGGAGGGGCUCUCGCCCCUCCCACGCCAUGGAGGCCAAGGACCAGAGGGGAAACCCUUCUCCCAUCUAGGGAGGAGGUCAAGGAAGAAGAAGACGAAGGGGCCCCCUUUCCCCUUCUCUUCCGGUGGCGCCGGAACGCCACCGUGGCCAUCAUCAUCACCGCAAUCUUCACCAACAACUUCACCUCCAUCAUCACCAACUCUUCCCCCCUCUAUGCAGCGGUGUAACCUCUCUCUUACUCGCUGUAAUCUCUACUUAAACAUGGUGCUCAACGCUAUAUAUUAUUUCCCAAUGAUGUAUGGCUAUCCUAAAACGUGUGCCAACCCCUAUGCGUUCAUGGGCGGAACCCGCAAGUUGGUCACCAAAACAUACAUCAAGUGAAUCAAUAGAAUAACCCAUUGUCACCACGGUUAUCCCACGCAAGACAUACAUCAAGUGUUCUCAAAUCCUUAAAGACUCAAUCCGAUAAGAUUACUUCAAAGGGAAAACUCAAUCCAUUACAAGAGGGUAGAGGGGGGAGAAACAUCAUAAGAUCCAACUAUAAUAGCAAAGCUCGCGAUACAUCAAGAUCGUGCCAAAUCAAGAACACGAGAGAGAGAGAUCAAACACAUAGCUAUUGGUACAUACCCUCAGCCCCAAGGGUGAACUACUCCCUCCUCGUCAUGGAGAGCGCCGGGAUGAUGAAGAUGGCCACCGGUGAGGGAUCCCCCCUCUGGCAGGGUGCCGGAACAGGGUCCCGAUUGGUUUUUGGUGGCUACAGAGGCUUGCGGCGGCGGAACUCCCGAUCUCUUCUGUUCCCCAAAGGUUUUAGGGUAUAUGGAUAUAUAUAUAGGCUGAAGAAAUACGUCAGGGGAGCCACGAGGGUGGAGGGCGCGCCCAGGGGGGUGGGCGCGCCCCCUGCCUUGUGCCUUCCUCGUUGCUUUCUUGACGUGGACUCCAAGUCCCCCGGAUUGCUUUCUUUCCAAAAAUAACUUCUCCAGAAGAUUUCAUUCCGUUUCGACUCCGUUUGAUAUUCCUUUUCUUCGAAACACUGAAACAAGGGAAAAAACAGGAACUGGCACUGGGCUCUGGGUUAAUAGGUUAGUCCCAAAAAUAAUAUAAAAGUGUUUAAUAAAGCCUAUAAACAUCCAAAACAGAUAAUAUAAUAGCAUGGAACAAUCAAAAAUUAUAGAUACGUUGGAGACGUAUCAGCAUCCCCAAGCUUAAUUCCUGCUCGUCCUCGAGUAGGUAAAUGAUAAAAACAAAAUUUUUGAUGUGGAAUGCUACUUGGCAUACUUUCAAUGUAAUUUUUCUUAAUUGUGGUAUGAAUAUUCAGAUCCGAAAGAUUCAAGAUAAAAGUUCAUAUUGACAUAAAAGUAAGAAUACUUCAAGCAUACUAACUAAGCAAUUAUGUCCUCUCAAAAUAACAUGGCCAAAGAAAGUUCAUCCCUACAAAAUCAUAUAGUUUAGUCAUGCUCCAUUUUCGUCACACAAGAAUGCUCUCAUCAUGCACAACCCCGAUGACAAGCCAAGCAAUUGUUUCAUACUUUAGUAAUCUCAAACUUUUUCAACCUUCACGCAAUACAUGAGCGUGAGCCAUGAAUAUAGCACUAUGGGUGGAAUAGAAUAUGAUGAUGGGGUUAUGUAGAGAAGACAAAAAAGGAGAAAGUCUCACAUCAACGAGGCUAAUCAAUGAGCUAUGGAGAUGCCCAUCGAUUGAUGUUAAUCCAAGGAGUAGGGAUUGCCAUGCAACGGAUGCACUAGAGCUAUAAAUAUAUGAAAGCUCAACAAAAGAAACUAAGUGGGUGUGCAUCCAACUUGCUUGCUCACGAAGACCUAGGGCACUUGAGGAGGCCCAUUGUUGGAAUAUACAAGCCAAGUUCUAUAAUGAAAAAUUCCCACUAGUAUAUGAAAGUGACAAAACAAGAGACUCUCUAUCAUGAAGAUUAUGGUGCUACUUUGAAGCACAAGCAUGGUAAAAGGAUAGUAACAUUGUCCCUUCUCUCUUUUUCUCUCAUUUUUUUGGGCCUUCUCUUUUUUUAUGGCCUUUCUCUUUUUUAUUUUAUUUUUUUACCUCACUUGGUACAAUGCUCUAGAAAAUGAUGAUCAUCACACUUCUAUUUAUUUACAACUCAAUGAUUACAACUCGAUACUAGAACAAAGUAUGACUCUAUAUGAAUGCCUCCGGCGGUGUACCGGGAUAUGCAAUGAACCAAGAGUGACAUGUAUGAAAGAAUUAUGAACGGUGGCUUUGCCACAAAUACUAUGUCAACUACAUGAUCAUGCAAAGCAAUAUGCCAAUGAUGAACAUGUCAUGAUAAACGGAACGGUGGAAAGUUGCAUGGCAAUAUAUCUCGGAAUGGCUAUGGAAAAGCCAUAAUAGGUAGGUAUGGUGGCUGUUUUGAGGAAGAUAUAAGGAGGUUUAUGUGUGAAAGAGCGUAUCAUAUCACGGGGUUUGGAUGCACCGGCGAAGUUUGCACCAACUCUCAAUGUGAGAAAGGGCAAUGCACGGUACCGAAGAGGCUAGCAAUGAUGGAAGGGUAAGAGUGCGUAUAAUCCAUGGACUCAACAUUAGUCAUAAAGAACUCACAUACUUACUGCAAAAAUCUAUAAGUCAUCAAAAACCAAGCACUACGCGCAUGCUCCUAGGGGAAUAGAUUGGUAGGAAAAGACCAUCACUCGUCCCCAACCGGCACUCAUAAGGAGGACAAUCAAAGAACACCUCAUGUUUCAAAUUUGUUACAUAACGUUUACCAUACGUGCAUGCUACGGGACUUGCAAACUUCAACACAAGUAUUUCUCAAAUUCACAACUACUCAACUAGCACAACUUUAAUAUCACUACCUCCAUAUCUCAAAACAAUCAUCAAGCAUCAAACUUCUCUUAGUAUUCAACACACUCAUAAGAAAGUUUUUACUAGUCUUGAAUACCUAACAUAUUAGGAUUAAGCAAAUUACCAUGCUGUUUAAGACUCUCAAAAUAAUAUAAGUGAAGCAUGAUAGUUCAUCUAUUUCUUCAAAAUAAAACCACCAUUGUGCUCUAAAAGGAUAUAAGUGAAGCACUAGAGCAAAUGACAAACUACUCCGAAAGAUAUAAGUUAAGAUCAAUGAGUAGUCGAAUAAUUAUGCAACUAUGUGAAGACUCUCUAACAUUUAAGAAUCUCAGAUCUUGGUAUAUUAUUCAAACAACAAGCAAAGCUAAAGAAAAUAAAAUGACAUGACGCUCCAAGCAAAACACAUAUCAUGUGGUGAAUAAAAAUAUAGCUCCAAGUAAAGUUACCGAUGAACGGAGACGAAAGAGGGGAUGCCAUCCGGGGCAUACCCAAGCUUAGGCUCUUGGUUAUCCUUGAAUAUUACCUUGGGAUGCCUUGGGCAUCCCCAAGCUUAGGCUCUUGCCACUCCUUAUUCCAUAGUCCAUCGAAAUCCUUACCCAAAACUUGAAAACUUCACAACACAAAACUCAACAGAAAACUCGUAAGCUCCGUUAGCGAAAGAAAAGCAAAACACCACUUCAAGGUACUGUAAUGAACUCAUUCUUUAUUUAUACUGGUGUUAAACCUACUAUAUUCCAACUUCUCUAUGGUUUAUAAACUAUUUUACUAGCCAUAGAGUCAUCAAAAUAAGCAAACAACACACGAAAAACAGAAUCUGUCAAAAACAGAACAAUCUGUAGUAAUCUGUAUCAAACGUAUACUUCUGGAACUCCAACAAUUCUAAAAUAAAUUGGUGUACCCGAGGAGUUUGUCUAGUAAUCAUAUGCAAAAAGAAUCAACGAAAUAGCACCCUCAAGUAAAAAGUUGAAGCUAAUCUCGUGAGCGCUAAAGUUUCUGUUUUUUACAGCAUGAUCAUAAAGACUUCACCCAAGUCUUCCCAAAGGUUCUACUUGGCACAAACACUAAUUAAAACAUAAAACCACAUCUAACCAGAGGCUGAAUGGAUUAUUUAUUACUAAACAGAACCAAAAAUAAAGAAACUAAAAUAAAAUUGGGUUGCCUCCCAACAAGCGCUAACGUUUAACGCCCCUAGCUAGGCAUGAUGAUUUCAAUGAUGCUCACAUAAAAGAUAAGAAUUGAAACAUAAAGAGAGCAUCAUGAAGAAUAUGACUAGCACAUUUAAGUCUAACCCACUUCCUAUGCAUAGGGAUUUUGUGAGCAAACAACUUAUGGGAACAAUAAUCAACUAGCAUAGGAAGGUAAAACAAGCAUAACUUCAAGAUUUUAAGCACAUAGACAGGAAACUUGAUAUUAUUGCAAUUCCUACAAGCAUACAUUCCUCCCUCAUAAUAACUUUCAGUAGCAUCAUGAAUGAAUUCAACAAUAUAACCAGCACCUAAAGCAUCAAUAGUAGUGGGAGCAAACUCAACAAAAUAGCUAUCAUAUGAUUGAAAAUUAAGAUCGAGAUGACAAGUUUCAUGGUUAUCAUUAUUCUUUAUAGCAUACGUGUCAUCACAAUAAUCAUCACAGAUAGGAGGCAUGUUUUCAUCAUAGUAAAUUUGCUCAUCAAAGCUUGGGGGACAAAAAAUAUCAUCUUCAUCAGACAUAGCUUCCCCAAGCUUGUGGCUUUGCAUAUCAUUAGCAUCAUGGAUAUUCAAGGAAUUCAUACUAACAACAUUGCAAUCAUGCUCAUCAUUCACAUAUUUUAUGCCAAGCAUUCUAUGUAAUUCUUCUUCUAGUACUUGAGCACAAUUUUCCUUCCCAUCAUUUUCACGAAAGACAUUAAAAAGAUGAAGCAUUUGAGGCACCCUUAAUUCCAUUUUUUGUAGUUUUCCUUUAUAAACUAAACUAGUGAUAAAACAAGAAACAAAAAGAUUCGAUUGCAAGAUCUAAAGAUAUACCUUCAAGCACUCACCUCCCCGGCAACGGCGCGAGAAAAGAGCUUAGUUGACGGGGUGUGAGUGCCACUUACCUAGCCUCCCCGGCAACGGCGCCAGAAAAGAGAUGUCUACUACACAACCUUCUUCUUGUAGACGUUGUUGGGCCUCCAAGUGCAGAGGUUUGUAGGACAGUAGCAAAUUUCCCUCAAGUGGAUGACCUAAGGUUUAUCAAUCCGUGGGAGGCGUAGGAUGAAGAUGGUCUCUCUCAAGCAACCCUGCAACCAAAUAACAAAGAGUCUCUUGUGUCCCCAACACACCCAAUACAAUGAUAAAUUGUAUAGGUGCACUAGUUCGGUGAAGAGAUGGUGAUACAAGUGCAAUAUGGAUAGUAGAUAUAGGUUUUUGUAAUCUGAAAAUAUAAAAACAGCAAGGUAACUAAUGAUAAAAGUGAGCACAAACGGUAUUGCAAUGCUAGGAAACAAGGCCUAGGGUUCAUACUUUCACUAGUGCAAGUUCUCUCAACAAUAAUAACAUAAUUGGAUCAUAAAACUAUCCCUCAACAUGCAACAAAGAGUCACUCCAAAGUCACUAAUAGCGGAGAACAAACGAAGAGAUUAUGGUAGGGUACGAAACCACCUCAAAGUUAUUCUUUCCGAUCAAUCCAUUGGGCUAUUCCUCUAAGUGUCACAAACAGCCCUAGAGUUCAUAGUAAAAUAACACCUUAAGACACACAUCAACAAAACCCUAAUGUCACCUAGAUACUCCAAUGUCGCCUCAAGUAUCCGUGGGUAUGAUUAUACGAUAUGCAUCACACAAUAUCAGAUUCAUCUAUUCAACCAACACAUAGAACCUCAAAGAGUGCCCCAAAGUUUCUACCGGAGAGUCAAGAUGAAAACUUGUGCCAACCCCUAUGCAUAGGUUCAUGGGCGGAACCCGCAAGUUGGUCACCAAAACAUACAUCAAGUGAAUCAAUAGAAUAACCCAUUGUCACCACGGUUAUCCCACGCAAGACAUACAUCAAGUGUUCUCAAAUCCUUAAAGACUCAAUCAAAUAAGAUUACUUCAAAGGGAAAACUCAAUCCAUUACAAGAGGGUAGAGGGGGGAGAAACAUCAUAAGAUCCAACUAUAAUAGCAAAGCUCGCGAUACAUCAAGAUCGUGCCAAAUCAAGAACACGAGAAAGAGAGAUCAAACACAUAGCUACUGGUACAUACCCUCAGCCCCGAGGGUGAACUACUCCCUCCUCGUCAUGGAGAGCGCCGGGAUGAUGAAGAUGGCCACCGGUGAGGGAUCCCCCUCCGACAGGGUGCCGGAACAGGGUCCCGAUUGGUUUUUGGUGGUUACAGAGGCUUGCGGCGGCGGAACUCCCGAUCUCUUCUGUUCCCCAAAGGUUUUAGGGUAUAUGGAUAUAUAUAGGCGGAAGAAAUACGUCAGGGGAGCCACGAGGGCCCCACGAGGGUGGAGGGCGCGCCCAGGGGGGUGGGCGCGCCCCCCUGCCUCGUGCCUUCCUCGUUGUUUUCUUGACGUGGAUUCCCAGUCCCGCGGAUUGCUUUCUUUCCAAAAAUAACUUCUCCAGAAGAUUUCAUUCCGUUUCGACUCCGUUUGAUAUUCCUUUUCUUCGAAACACUGAAACAAGGGAAAAAACAAGAACUGGCACUGGGCUCUGGGUUAAUAGGUUAGUCCCAAAAAUAAUAUAAAAGUGUUUAAUAAAGCCCAUAAACAUCCAAAACAGAUAAUAUAAUAGCAUCGAACAAUCAAAAAUUAUAGAUAUGACGGAGACGUAUCAGCUGAUACGUCUCCGUCAUAUCUAUAAUUUUUGAUUGUUCCAUGCCAAUAUUCUACAACUUUCAUAUACUUUUGGCAACUUUUUAUAUUAUUUUUGGGACUAACAUAUUGAUCCAGUGCCCAGUGCCAGUUCCUGUCUGUUGCAUGUUUUAUGUUUCGCAGAAACCCCAUAUCAAACGGAAUCCAAACGGGAUAAAAACGGACGGAGAAUUAUUUUGGAAUAUUUGUGAUUUUUGGGAAGUAAAAUCAACGCGAGACGGUUCCCGAGGUGGCCACGAGGGUGGGGCCCACGCCCACUCUAGGCAGGCGCGCCCCUGACCCUCGUGGGCCACUCGUAAGGCGGUUGAUGCCCUUCUAUGGUCGCAAGAAAGCUAAUUUUUUGGAAAAAAGAUCUGGGCGAAGGUUUCAAUCCAAUCGGAGUUACGGAUCUCCGUAUAUACACGAAACGGUGAAAGGGCAGCAGAGGAGAGCGCAGAAACAGAGAGAGACAGAGAGACAGGUCCAAUCUCGGAGGGCUCUCGCCCCUCCCACGCCAUGGAGGCCAAGGACCAGAGGGGAAACCCUUCUCCCAUCUAGGGAGGAGGUCAAGGAAUAAGAAGACGAAGGGGCCCCCUUUCCCCUUCUCUUCCGGUGGCGCCGGAACGCCGCCGUGGCCAUCAUCAUCACCGCAAUCUUCACCAACAACUUCACCGCCAUCAUCACCAACUCUUCCCCCCUCUAUGCAGCGGUGCAACCUCUCUCUUACCCGCUGUAAUCUCUACUUAAACAUGGUGCUCAACGCUAUAUAUUAUUUCCCAAUGAUGUAUGGCUAUCCUAUGAUGUUUGAGUAGAUCCGUUUUGUCCUAUGGGCUAUUUGAUGAUCAAGAUUAGUUUGAGUUGCAUGUUUUAUUAUUGGUGCUGCCCUAUGGUGCUCUCCGUGUCGCACAAGCGUGAGGGAUCCCCGCUGUAGGGUUUGCAAUAUGUUCAUGAUUUGCUUAUGGUGGGUGGCGUGAGUGACAGAAGCACAGACCCGAGUAAGUAGGUUGUUUGCGUAUGGGAUAAAGAGGAGUUGAUACUUUAAUGCUAUGUUUGGGUUUUACCUUAAUGAUCUUUAGUAGUUGCGGAUGCUUGCUAGAGUUCCAAUCAUAAGUGCAUAUGAUCCAAGUAGAGAAAGUAUGUUAGCUUAUGCCUCUCCCUCAAAUAAAAUUGCAAUAAUGAUUACCGGUCUAGUUAUCGAUUGCCUAGGGACAAAUAACUUUCUCGUAACAAAAAGCUCUUUACUAAAACUAAUUUAGUUGUGUCUUCAUCUAAACAGCCCCUAGCUUUUAUUUAUGCGCUCUUUAUUUUCUUGCAAGCCUAUCCAAAAUGAUAGAGGCAAAGGUGUCCCGUCUUUCGAUGAGAUGAUGAAUAUCGCUUUGAUGGAAGUCGACUUUGACGAUCCGACUACGAACGUGCGAGGACGUCGCGCCUUAGCAAUCGCUAAACCAACUCCGAGAGGUUAUCGACCACGCCGGAGCACGAUCAACCUGACCACGAGGGUCUGUUUCCUGCGAGCAAACGAAGAACAAGCAAGAAACUGAGAUUGCAAUCUGGAUAUUGCGAAUAUAAGAUGAAAGCUUUAUUGAUCAAGGUGGAGUUAUGUGACGCCUUUGUCUGGUUGCUGAACACAAACGAAGUACGCGAAGUUGCAGCUAUGGCGAACUUUUAAUCUAAACAAAACCCAAAGUCUAAACGACGCCCUAAGGGCUGUAUAUAUGGAGGAAGAGGGGGGGGGAUUUCGUGGCCCUUGAGGAAGGGGUCCGAAACCAACCCUAUCUCUUGUUUCCCCACACAUACGCACUCUAAAAACAGCCUAUACUUAUGUAUUUCGAAAUUACAUGGGCCUGGCCCAAUAAUAAGGUGACGCAGCACCUAGAAUAGCCUCUGGACGAAAGUUAUGAAGUAGCAUCUUGUAUAUUUCGUCCAAGGCUUCAUGCACGCAUUAUGGUGGCUUCAACGUCCUGAAAUCAUCACUUGUAACUCCGUUCUUGUUCCCCAUGCGCAUGCCAUCAUCUCCAUGCUUGUUCUUGCUCCAAUGUUCAUCCUUCUCAAAGCUAGGCCCUUCAUUUGUAAGCAAAACAAAUGUAUCCAAUUUAGGCAGCAUCAUAUUCUCAUGAACAUUAGAAUCAUUACCAAGAAACAAAAGUACCUGGUAAUUUAAUUGGCGUGCGCGAGCUCUAGUAAUUGGUCCAGUAUGUAUAGCAGCAGGCCUGUGGGUGUAACAAUGGUAUUGAUGUCCUCAUCAUCCUCCCCUUCUAGAAAUGAAGUCGUCCUCGACGGAAGCUCAUCUUCCUCACCCAAAUAAGGCUUCAAAUCUGCAAUGUUAAAAGUGGGACUAACCCCAAAAUCUGCAGGCAGCUCAAGUUUAUAUGCAUUAUCAUUUAUUUUCUCUAACACCUUAAAAGGACCAUCAGCACGUGGCAUUAGCUUUGAUUGCGCAAAUCAGGAAAUCUAUCCUUACGCAAAGGUAACCAAACAAGAUCUCCAGGUGCAAACACAACAUGUUUUCUACCCUUAUCUCCAGCAAGUUUAUAUUUAGCAUUCAUACGCUCAAUGUUUUCCUUAGUUAACUCAUGCAUUUUUAAGAUCAAUUCAGCACGUUGUUUAGCAUCAAAAUUAACCUUCUCCGAAGAUGGAAGAGGCAACAAAUCAAUAGGUGCACGAGGUAGGAAACCAUACACAAUUUCAAAAGGGCACAUCUUAGUAGUAGAAUGCAAUGAACGAUUAUAAGCAAACUCAAUAUGAGGCAAGCAUUCUUCCCACAUUUUCUUAUUAUUCUUCAAAACAGCCCUAGGCAUUGUAGACAGUGUUCUAUUGACUACUUCAGUUUGUCCAUCAGUUUGGGGGUGACAAGUAGUACUAAAAAGCAGUUUAGUCCCCAACUUAGCCCAUAAACAUCUCCAAAAGUGGCUAAGAAAUUUAGUAUCACGAUCUGAAACAAUAGUAUUUGGCACACCAUGCAAGCGAAUAAUUUCACGAAAGAACAAAUCGGCAACAUUAACAGCAUCAUCGCUUUUAUGACAUGGUAUAAAGUGUGCCAUUUUCGAGAAUCUAUCCACGACAACAAAUAUGCUAUCCCUCCCCUUCUUUGUUCGAGGUAAACCUAAAACAAAGUCCAUAGAUAUAUCCUCCCAAGGAACACUAGGUACAGGCAAAGGCAUAUAUAAACCAUGAGGAUUGAGUCGUGACUUAGCUUUUUGGGAUGUAGUGCAGCGAGCAACAAAACGCUCAACAUCCCGUCUCAUCUUUGGCCAAAAGAAAUGUGUAGCAAGUACGUGAUAGAGGCAAAGGUGUCCCGUCUUUCGAUGAGAUGAUGGAUAUCGCUUUGGUGGAAGUCGACUUUGACGAUCCGACUACGAACGUGCGAGGACGUCGCGCCUUAGCAAUCGCUAAACCAACUCCGAGAGGUUAUCGACCACGCCGGAGCACGAUCAACCUGACCACGAGGGUCUGUUUCCUGCGAGCAAACGAAGAACAAGCAAGAAACUGAGAUUGCAAUCUGGAUAUUGCGAAUAUAAGAUGAAAGCUUUAUUGGUCAAGGUGGAGUUCUGUGACGCCUUUGUCUGGUUGCUGAACACAAACAAAGUACACGAAGUUGCAGCUAUGGCGAACUUUUAAUCUAAACAAAACCCAAAGUCUAAACGACGCCCUAAGGGCUGUAUAUAUGGAGGAAGAGCAGGGAAUUUCGUGGCCCUUGAGGAAGGGGUCCGAAACCAACCCUAUCUCUUGUUUCCCCACACAUACGGACUCUAAAAACAGCCUAUACUUAUGUAUUUCGAAAUUACAUGGGCCUGGCCCAAUAAUAAGGUGACGCAGCACCUAGAAUAGCCUCUGGACGAAAGUUAUGAAGUAGCAUCUUGUAUAUUUCGUCCAAGGCUUCAUGCACGCAUUAUGGUGGCUUCAACGUCCUGAAAUCAUCACUUGUAACUCCGUUCUUGUUCCCCAUGCGCAUGCCAUCAUCUCCAUGCUUGUUCUUGCUCCAAUGUUCAUCCUUCUCAAAGCUAGGCCCUUCAUUUGUAAGCAAAACAAAUGUAUCCAAUUUAGGCAGCAUCAUAUUCUCAUGAGCAUUAGAAUCAUUACCAAGAAACGAAAGUACCUGGUAAUUUAAUUGGCGUGCGCGAGCUCUAGUAAUUGGUCCAGUAUGUAUAGCAGCAGGGGCUGUGGGUGUAACCAUGGUAUUGAUGUCCUCAUCAUCCUCCCCUUCUUGAAAUGAAGUCGUCCUCGACGGAAGCUCAUCUUCCUCACCCAAAUAAGGCUUCAAAUCUGCAAUGUUAAAAGUGGGACUAACCCCAAAAUCUGCAGGCAGCUCAAGUUUAUAUGCAUUAUCAUUUAUUUUCUCUAACACCUUAAAAGGACCAUCAGCACGUGGCAUUAGCUUUGAUUUGCGCAAAUCAGGAAAUCUAUCCUUACGCAAAUGUAACCAAACAAGAUCUCCAGGUGCAAACACAACAUGUUUUCUACCCUUAUCUCCAGCAAGUUUAUAUUUAGCAUUCAUACGCUCAAUGUUUUCCUUAGUUAACUCAUGCAUUUUUAAGAUCAAUUCAGCACGUUGUUUAGCAUCAAAAUUAACCUUCUCCGAAGAUGGAAGAGGCAACAAAUCAAUAGGUGCACGAGGUAGGAAACCAUACACAAUUUGAAAAGGGCACAUCUUAGUAGUAGAAUGCAAUGAACGAUUAUAAGCAAACUCAAUAUGAGGCAAGCAUUCUUCCCACAUUUUCUUAUUAUUCUUCAAAACAGCCCUAAGCAUAGUAGACAAUGUUCUAUUGACUACUUCAGUUUGUCCAUCAGUUUGGGGGUGACAAGUAGUACUAAAAAGCAGUUUAGUCCCCAACUUUGCCCAUAAACAUCUCCAAAAGUGGCUAAGAAAUUUAGUAUCACGAUCGGAAACAAUAGUAUUUGGCACACCAUGCAAGCGAAUAAUUUCACGAAAGAACAAAUCAGCAACAUUAACAGCAUCAUCGCUUUUAUGACAUGGUAUAAAGUGUGCCAUUUUCGAGAAUCUAUCCACGACAACAAAUAUGCUAUCCCUCCCCUUCUUUGUUCGAGGUAAACCUAAAACAAAGUCCAUAGAUAUAUCCUCCCAAGGAACACUAGGUACAGGCAAAGGCAUAUAUAAACCAUGAGGAUUGAGUCGUGACUUAGCUUUUUGACAUGUAGUGCAACGAGCAACAAAACGCUCAACAUCCCGUCUCAUCUUUGGCCAAAAGAAAUGUGUAGCAAGUACGUCCUCCGUCUUCUUCACGCCAAAGUGUCCCAUUAAUCCUCCUCCAUGCGCCUCCUGCAACAACAAAAGACGAAGAGAGCUAGCUGGAAUGCAUAGCUUGUUAGCACGGAACACAAAUCCAUCAUUAACGACAAACUUGUUCCAGGUUCUUCCUUCUUUACAAUUCUUCAAUACAUCUUUAAAAUCAGCAUCAUGCACAUAUUGAUCUUUGAUGGUCUCCAAACCAAAUAUUUUGAAGUCAAGUUGUGAAAGCAUAGUAUAGCGACGAGACAAUGCAUCAGCAAUAACAUUUUCUUUACCCUUCUUGUGUUUAAUGACAUAAGGGAAAGUUUCAAUGAAUUCAACCCAUUUAGCAUGUCUACGAUUCAGUUUAGCUUGACUUUUAAUAUGUUUCAAAGAUUCAUGAUCAGAAUGUAUAACAAAUUCUUUGGGCCAUAAAUAAUGUUGCCAUGUUUCUAAAGUCCGAACAAGAGCAUAUAGUUCUUUAUCAUAACUAGAAUAAUUCAGACUAGGCCCACUCAAUUUUUCAGAAAAGUAUGCAACAGGUUUGCCAUCUUGUAAUAACACACCUCCUAAUCCAAUGCCACUAGCAUCACAUUCAAGCUCAAAAGUCUUAUUAAAAUCAGGAAGUUGGAGUAAAGGAGCAUGUGUCAACUUAUCUUUCAAUACCGUGAAGGCUUCUUCCUGUGCGGUACCCCAAACAAAAGGCACAUCCUUCUUUGUAAGCUCGUUGAGAGGUGCAGCAAUGGUGCUAAAAUCUCUCACAAAACGCCUAUAGAAACCAGCGAGUCCAAGAAAACUCCGCACUUGUGUGACCGUUUUGGGCUGCGGCCAACUCUCAAUAGCUUCAAUCUUGGCUAUAUCAACUUCAAUUCCCUGUGGAGUAACAACAUAGCCAAGAAAAGAUACUCGGUCGGUGCAAAAGGUGCACUUCCCAAGGUUACCAAACAAACGUGCAUCACGUAGAGCAAUAAAAACAGCACGUAAAUGUUCCAAAUGUUCUUCCAAAGAUUUGCUAUAAAUCAGUAUAUCAUCAAAAUAGACUACCACAAAUCAUCCAAUGAAAGCACGUAAAACUUCGUUCAUUAGUCUCAUGAAAGUACUAGGUGCAUUAGUUAACCCAAAAGGCAUGACUAACCACUCAUAUAAACCAAACUUAGUUUUAAAUGCAGUUUUCCAUUCAUCUCCCAAUUUCAUACGAAUUUGAUGGUAUCCACUAUGCAAAUCAACUUUGGAGAAUAUUGUAGAGCCACUCAAUUCAUCAAGCAUAUCAUCUAGCCUAGGAAUAGGAUGACGAUAACGAAUAGUAAUAUUAUUAAUGCCUCUACAAUCAACACACAUACGCGACGUACCAUCCUUUUUAGGCACUAGUAUAAUAGGAACAGCACAAGGACUAAGAGAUUCGCGUAUAUAACCUUUGUCGAGCAGCUCCUCUACUUGACGCAUAAUCUCCUUCGUCUCCUCUGGAUUGGUACGGUAUGGUGCACGGUUGGGUAGCGAUGCACCGGGAAUUAAGUCAAUUUGAUGCUCAAUCCCUCGAAUAGGUGGUAAUCCCGGUGGCACGUCUUGUGGGAAGACGUCAGCGAACUCCUGCAAAAUGUUAGUGACAGCAGGGGGCAAAGAGGAAGGCACGUCCUCGAAUGAAAAUAAGGCCUCUUUGCACACAAAAGCAUAGCAAACAGAUUUGCUGAAAUCUAGCUCAUCAAUAUCAGAUUUUGUGGCAAGUAAACAUGCACUUUCCAAUUUAAUUUCAGAAACAACACUAGAUGGUUUAUUAUUAGGUUUCAUUUGUUGCUCAAAUUCCUUUGCCACAAUCUGAUUUUCACUCUUAUUUUUCUCCUGUUUUGCUUUAUUAGCUCUAUUAAUGUCAUCUUUCAAAAUGGAAUCAGGAGUCAUAGGAAGCAAAGUAAUAUUUUUAUCCUUAUGAACAAGAGUAUACUGAUUGUUUCUACCAUGGUGUACAGAAUUUUUAUCAAAUUGCCAUGGUCUACCUAGUAAUAAGGAACAUGCUUGCAUGGGUACCACAUCACAAUCAACAUAAUCAGCAUAUGUAGAGAUACUAAAAUGCACACGAACAGUACGUGUUACCUUAACCUUGCCGCUAUUGUUGAACCAUUGGAUGUAGUAAGGAUGUGGAUGUGAUCUUGUGGUGAGAGAUAGCUUCUCCACCAUCUCCAUGCUAGCCAAGUUGUUACAGCUCCCUCCAUCUAUGAUGACGCGAACAGAACGUUCCUUCACAACUCCCUUUGUAUGGAACAAAUUAUGCCUCUGAUUUUGCUCUGCUUGUGUGACCUGCACACUCAAAACACGUUGAGCAACUAAACAUUCAUACCUGUCAGCGUCUUCAGGAGCCAUGUAUUGCGUCUCAUUUUCAGAAUCAUCUCCACCAUGUUCUUCACGGGUAAUAAGAGCCAAAGUCUCCUCAUCAUAGUCACUAGCGGACUCAUACCCACCAUCCUCAGUAGCAAUCAUUACACGCUGAGAUUUGCAUUCUCUCGCAAAAUGUCCUCUUCCCUUACAACGACGACAAAUAAUAUCACUUGUGUGCCCUGUCGAUGCCAUGGAAAAAGAAGAGCUCUGCGCAGGCCCGGCAGGUGUGCUCUUGCCAGAGAGUGGUGGUUGUGCCUGCUUUCUUGUAUCACGGCUGGAGGUGACACCUGAUGGAGGUGAUGGUGAAGUGGAAGUAGAAGAUGCACGCGGUGUCCAUGAUGAAGGUCGACCUGCAGAAAAGUUAGUUUGCGCCAAUGGCUGUCGAUCCUGCACUUCACGUUCAGCUUUACAAGCAAGAUGGAAUAAACGAGUGAUAUUAUUAUAAUCCUUAUACUCUAGAAUGGUCUGAAUCUCUUUAUUUAAUCCACCCAUAAAACGUGCAAGCAUAGCUUCAUUCUCCUCAACAAUACCACAUCUAAUCAUGCCCGUUUGUAAUUCCUGAUAAUAUUCUUCUACAGAAUUUUUCCCUUGUCUUAAACGCUGCAAUUUUUGAAGUAAUUCACGUUGAUAAUAUGGUGGAACCCAACGAGUACGCAUAGCAGUUUUCAAAGCAGCCCAAGUAGCUGGAACAGGAUAUAAUCUACAAUGUUCAGACCACCAAACACAUGCAAAGCUAGUGAAAGCACAAACAGCAGCAGGAACACGUCUGUCCUCAGGAUAUUGUAAACAUGUAAAUCAUUGUUCAGUUUCUAACUCCCAAGUAAGAUAUAUAUCAGGAACAUAUCUACCCUCAAAUGGUGGAAUAUUCAAUUUCAGUUUAGGGAGAUGGUCAUGAUCUCGUACCUGAGGUGGUGGUGCCGGCCUACCGUUGCGAAUAUAUACCUGAGGUCGACCUGCUAGUGGUGGUGCUGGUGGCUGCACGUAGUUCUGAUUUUGAUCAACCUCAUCCUCAUAAUCGCCCGCAUAAUCGUCAUCCUCCUCAGCCGCCGCAGGAGCAGGAGCCAAAGAAGCAUCAACAGUAGGUGCAGCAGCACCCGAAUUUUGACCAGUCUCAAUUGGAACGCGCUGUGCCCGUCCCACUUGAUUUGGAAGGCGGCGUUGGAGAUGUGGUUGUUGUUGUUGUAGAGGUGCGACAUGUGCAGCCGGUGGUGGUUGGGGAAGACGCUUGAGUAAUUCAGUAAACUUGUUAUCCAGCUUUGUCUCGAACGACUUCUCCACGGCAUCUAUCUUCUCCAUAGCCUCUUCAAAUCUGUUUAGCACAUCUCCCACCUGGCCACUCAUCAUUUGCUGAAAUUUAUCAUGCAACGCCUUGUUCGUCAUGUUCUCCCAAUCAGUCUCAUCGACUUGUGAACCUGCCAUGGUUAGCAGCAAUAGAAACACAAAAGAAUAUGAUCCUGCAGACUACUAGAAGUGGUGGUGAUGGUGGUGUGUCACAAAACCUUCAAGCGAAUCUCAAAUUCUUACCAGUUCUUACCCAGCAGCAGGUGGUGAUCGGCAACCGUUGUAGUCAAAAACUCUCAAAGCUUGGAUAUAGCGAUUACCAGGGAGAGUCAAACGCACGAUGUAGACUUAUGUGGAGCUGGGAAGGCUUAUAAUAUGGUAGCAAAAUGGUAAGCAAUAAUCAAUUCAGAGAUGCAAAGUUGAAUAAACGCUCAACGACGGUACUGUGCUGGUCCUAGGCUAGACCGUGCUAGAGACGCGAGCCUAGAACACUAACAAAAUCACGGCGCUGCACGUAAACAAGGGAAAAGCACACUCUGGAAAUUUUUUUUUCGCUCUUUUUUUUUGCGCUCUCUUUUUUUUGCGCUCCUCUUUUUUUUUGCGAAAAAUCUCUAUAAUGGCGUGUGUCUCAAAACUCUUCCCAGGUCAAACUGACAGGACGGGCACAAAAUUUUUUGACUAUUUUUUUUCGGAAAUCAGGGCAACGACGACGAAAAAGUGCGACAAAAAAUCACUAUGAUGGCGAGUGUCUCAAAACACUACCCGGGGCCUAAAAAUAGGAUAGGGAAAAAAUAUUUUUGGUUGCCGAAAUUUUGGCCUAAAAACUGCCCGGGGGUCUCCAGACUCCUUUUUUUUUAAUAUAUGGAUCUCUAAAACCAACCGAAUAUGAAAAGAACUCGGAUUGGUGGUGGAUAUAUGGCGGUAGGAUAUGGCAGCGGUGGUGGUAUAUGGUACGGAUCGGUGGUAUAUGGAUACGGAUUGGUGGUGGUAUAUAGAUACGGAUUCAGAGCGGUGGCGGAUAAGCAAUGGUGGUAGAUGGCAAGGCGAUGAUGAUGGUGCGGCGGCGGCGUGACAACUUAUGACCAGAACUCGAAACUCUAAAAGACUAGACUCUAAGACCAGCAACUUGACACGACGAUGCAACCGCAAAUUCAACAAAGCAAAAACCCUAAAAAGAUUAUGCAAAGGCUCAGAUUGGUUCGGAUAUGAUGAACUAACCCUAAUUUUUUUUGUGGCUUUUUCGUGGACUGUAGGUAUGAAGAACAGACUCGAUCUAAACUACGAAAAACUGUAAAAUCUCACCGAGCAACCUGGAAAUCUGAUACCACUUGAUAGAGGCAAAGGUGUCCCGUCUUUCGAUGAGAUGAUGAAUAUCGCUUUGAUGGAAGUCGACUUUGACGAUCC
This 24456-nucleotide long non-coding RNA is filed under the name Triticum aestivum (bread wheat). Its description in RNAcentral is "long non-coding RNA (TAES_LNC018005)". The record is from RNAcentral. Lineage: Eukaryota; Viridiplantae; Streptophyta; Magnoliopsida; Poales; Poaceae.